This 495-nucleotide ribosomal RNA is filed under the name uncultured bacterium. RNAcentral describes it as "bacterial SSU rRNA". It matches the Rfam family "Bacterial small subunit ribosomal RNA", at positions 29 to 513 of the family's 1533-position model. The record is from RNAcentral.
AACGAACGCUGGCGGCGUGCUUAACACAUGCAAGUCGAGCGAGAAAGGGGAGCAAUCCCUGAGUACAGCGGCAAACGGGUGAGUAACACGUGGGCAACCUACCCUCGAGUGGGGAAUAACAUCUCGAAAGAGGUGCUAAUACCGCAUGACAUCGCGGAGGCUUCGGCCACUGCGAUCAAAGGUCGGGAUCUUCGGACCGACCGCUUGAGGAUGGACCCGCGGCUGAUAGCUAGUUGGUGGGGUAACGGCCUACCAAGGCGACGAUCAGUAGCCGGCCUGAGAGGGUGAACGGCCACACUGGAACUGAGACACGGUCCAGACUCCUACGGGAGGCAGCAGUGAGGAAUUUUGGACAAUGGGCGCAAGCCUGAUCCAGCAACGCCGCGUGGACGAUGAAGGUCUUCGGAGCGUAAAGUCCUGUCGAGUGGGAAGAUGGAACGAGCAAUCGUUCGGACGGUACCUCCAGAAGCAGCCACGGCUAACUUCGUGCCAGCA